This 18-nucleotide small nuclear RNA is filed under the name Arabidopsis thaliana (thale cress). RNAcentral's name for it is "snRNA_08026". The record is from RNAcentral. Lineage: Eukaryota; Viridiplantae; Streptophyta; Magnoliopsida; Brassicales; Brassicaceae.
AUGACUCUCUUAAGGUAG